This 493-nucleotide ribosomal RNA is filed under the name uncultured bacterium. RNAcentral's name for it is "bacterial SSU rRNA". It matches the Rfam family "Bacterial small subunit ribosomal RNA", at positions 46 to 518 of the family's 1533-position model. The record is from RNAcentral.
GCUUAACACAUGCAAGUCGAACGCGAAAGGGACUUCGGUCCUGAGUAAAGUGGCGCACGGGUGAGUAACGCGUAGAUAACCUGUCUUCAUGUCUGGAAUAAUACGCCGAAAGGGGUACUAAUACCGGAUAUUCUUGCUUUUCAUAAGUUAUGCAAGCAAAGGUGGCCUCUGCAUAUGCUACUGCAUGAAGAGGGGUCUGCGUACCAUUAGCUAGUAGGUGGGGUAAUGGCCUACCUAGGCGACGAUGGUUAGCGGGUCUGAGAGGAUGAUCCGCCACACUGGCACUGGAACACGGGCCAGACUCCUACGGGAGGCAGCAGUGAGGAAUAUUGCGCAAUGGGGGAAACCCUGACGCAGCGACGCCGCGUGAGUGAAGGAAGGCCUUCGGGUCGUAAAGCUCUGUCAAGAGGAAAGAAGUGUACAAUGGCUAAUACCUGUUGUAUUUGACGGUACCUCUAAAGGAAGCACCGGCUAACUCCGUGCCAGCCGCUGC